UCUGGCGACCGGCGCACGGGUGAGUAACACGUAUCCAACCUGCCCUUUACUCGGGGAUAGCCUUUCGAAAGAAAGAUUAAUACCCGAUAGCAUAAUGAUUCCGCAUGGUUUCAUUAUUAAAGGAUUCCGGUAAAGGAUGGGGAUGCGUUCCAUCAGGUUGUUGGUGAGGUAACGGCUCACCAAGCCUUCGAUGGAUAGGGGUUCUGAGAGGAAGGUCCCCCACAUUGGAACUGAGACACGGUCCAA
This 246-nucleotide ribosomal RNA is filed under the name uncultured bacterium. RNAcentral describes it as "partial 16S ribosomal RNA". It matches the Rfam family "Bacterial small subunit ribosomal RNA", at positions 87 to 334 of the family's 1533-position model. The record is from RNAcentral.